Molecule: ribosomal RNA, 253 nt
Filed under: uncultured bacterium
Lineage: Bacteria
Description: partial 16S ribosomal RNA
Rfam family: Bacterial small subunit ribosomal RNA
Source: RNAcentral
UACGUAGGGGGCAAGCGUUGUCCGGAUUUAUUGGGCGUAAAGAGCGUGUAGGCGGCUUGGUAGGUCCGCUGUGAAAACUCGAGGCUCAACCUCGAGAUGUCGGCGGAAACCACUUGGCUAGAGUCCGGAAGAGGAGAGUGGAAUUCCCGGUGUAGCGGUGAAAUGCGCAGAUAUCGGGAAGAACACCUAUGGCGAAGGCAGCUCUCUGGGACGGUACUGACGCUGAGACGCGAAAGCGUGUGGAGCGAACAGG